Molecule: ribosomal RNA, 393 nt
Filed under: uncultured bacterium
Lineage: Bacteria
Description: partial 16S ribosomal RNA
Rfam family: Bacterial small subunit ribosomal RNA
Source: RNAcentral
AUACGGAGGGUGCAAGCGUUGUUCGGAAUUACUGGGUGUAAAGGGUGCGCAGGCGGCCGUGCAAGUCAGCGGUGAAAGCCCGGGGCUCAACCCCGGAAGUGCCGUUGAUACUGCGUGGCUGGAAUGCGGUCGAGGCGGGCGGAACGUGGCGGGUAGCGGGGAAAUGCGUGGAUAUGCCACAGAACGCCGAUAGCGGAGGCAGCUCGCCAGGCCUGCAUUGACGCUCGGGCACGAAAGCGUGGGGAUCGAACAGGAUUAGAUACCCUGGUAGUCCACGCCGUAAACGAUGGGCGCUCGUCGUCGGCGACAGACAGUCGGCGGCCAAGCGAAAGCGAUAAGCGCCCCACCUGGGGAGUACGGUCGCAAGGCUGAAACUCAAAUGAAUUGACGGGG